Mya arenaria is the source of this 346-nucleotide long non-coding RNA. RefSeq lists it as uncharacterized. NCBI's taxonomy places the organism in Eukaryota, Metazoa, Mollusca, Bivalvia, Myida, Myidae. The record is from RefSeq and is a predicted model, not a curated record. The transcript has 3 exons.
UAUACAUCCGGAACACCUCGGCCAUUUUCCAUCGAAAACAACCUCGGAUGUAUGCAGGUAGAAGUAUUUACAAGUGGACCUGUGCAGUACACGCUCAGAUUGGGAAGAUUAUAAGUAUCAUCCCGAGAGUAGGGUGGACAAGGUUUACCGGGUUUCCGCACAACACCCUGCGCGAGGGUUGGGAUGAACCUAUCUUACACGAGCGGCCAUGCUCCGGUACACGUGUUGGACAGCAGGCUGAAGUCAUUCCUACAUGUUGUAGAACCAAAUAUUUGUCUUGGAUAUAACACUUCAGUCACUGGGCAAAGUAGAUUUUAAUAUCUCCAGUGAAUGUGAAAUGGUUAAA